ACCCUUGAAGUAUAUUAGUACAUCCGAUUUCCACUUGGAAGGGCCAAAUUGGCAAGGGCA
Molecule: transfer RNA, 60 nt
Filed under: Eurydice pulchra
Lineage: Eukaryota; Metazoa; Arthropoda; Malacostraca; Isopoda; Cirolanidae
Description: tRNA-Gly
Source: RNAcentral